GCAAAGGAUUGUGGGUGCACGCGAAACGAGAGCGCGCGGGAAAGCCUUGAAAGAAGAGGUGGUGCGUCGGCAAGCCGGGGUUUGAUUGUUCUCGUCAGUAAUAUGUAGUCGCUGGUUUUAUGUAUGCGUCACUGACGAAUUGUACAUCCAACUGACUACGAUUAAAAUAUGCCAGACUGCAGCUAAUGGUUCCCCUCUCCUGCUUGUCAAUGUGCAUCUGGAGUACAGUCAUCAAAACUCCCAUCUUGCCUGUCCUGAAUCGUGACUGAUAUCCCACAGCGAGUACUACCCUCCUGCAGCAAACACCUUACAGUUUCCCAGGGAUGUGUGUCCCCCGCCCCUUUCCCACAAUCUCCUUUUUAAAUAAAAUGUCGUGAACUGUCAC
Long non-coding RNA from Paramormyrops kingsleyae, 385 nucleotides. RefSeq lists it as uncharacterized. Lineage: Eukaryota; Metazoa; Chordata; Actinopteri; Osteoglossiformes; Mormyridae. The record is from RefSeq and is a predicted model, not a curated record.